This 482-nucleotide ribosomal RNA is filed under the name uncultured bacterium. RNAcentral's name for it is "partial 16S ribosomal RNA". It matches the Rfam family "Bacterial small subunit ribosomal RNA", at positions 28 to 507 of the family's 1533-position model. The record is from RNAcentral.
GACGAACGCUGGCGGCGUGCUUAACACAUGCAAGUCGAACGAUGAAGAAGAGAAACGCGAACUUCGGUUCAAAUUUCACUUCGGAUUAGUGGCAGACGGGUGAGUAACGCGUGAGCAACCUACCUCUUACAAAGGGAUAGCCUCGGGAAACCGUGAUUAAUACCAUAUGACACAUUCAUAAGGCAUCUUAAGAAUGUUAAAGCUACGGCGGUAAGAGAUGGGCUCGCGUCCCAUUAGCUAGUUGGUGAGGUAACGGCCCACCAAGGCGACGAUGGGUAACCGGCCUGAGAGGGUGAACGGUCACAUUGGAACUGAGACACGGUCCAAACUCCUACGGGAGGCAGCAGUGGGGAAUAUUACACAAUGGAGGGAACUCUGAUGCAGCGACGCCGCGUGAGCGAUGAAGGAAUUCGUUUCGUAAAGCUCUGUUCUAUGGGAAGAAAAGGACUGUACCAUAGGAGAAAGCCCCGGCUAAAUACGUG